CCGCCGCGGGCUCUGCCCGCUCGCCUGCUCGCCUGGUGGGGGAGAGGGGAGCGGGGCCGACACAGGACUGCAGUUGACAGCAGAUAACUGAAAGCUCGGAAAGCGAAACCGUGGAUAAGCAGGGGAACUGUGGCAUCCCAUUUAAAAUUGCUUCUAUGGAUGGAGAUGCAGAAGUUCAGCCCUACGAGGUCCAUGAUUAAUUAGCUGAGCAGAGGCCAGCUCAGUAGCGCACCUCCUGUUUGCUCUCCCUCUUUCUUUGCUGCACACCCCUUUCUCCCUCACUUUUGCUUCCCUGGGAUUGCAUUCCCAAUAAAGUGUUCAUACAUAAACCUUUGCCUCAAGCUCUGUUUCCUGGGAAGCCCAGGCUGGGCUGGGCCCUUCCCCACUGCCAGUCCUGGACACACACUGCAAAUGUUCCCUCCUAGAAUUCUCGUGACUGUUGUCCGGGCUCCACUACUGCACUGCACCCCCACAAGCCAGGCAUUCUUUCUUUACACAGAGCAAUUGAUUAGAUUGA
This 517-nucleotide long non-coding RNA is filed under the name Homo sapiens (human). RNAcentral describes it as "HSALNT0311236". Lineage: Eukaryota; Metazoa; Chordata; Mammalia; Primates; Hominidae. The record is from RNAcentral.